Molecule: ribosomal RNA, 911 nt
Filed under: uncultured archaeon
Lineage: Archaea
Description: partial 16S ribosomal RNA
Rfam family: Archaeal small subunit ribosomal RNA
Source: RNAcentral
CUGGUUGAUCCUGCCGGACCUGACUGCUAUCGGAUUGAUACUAAGCCAUGCGAGUCAUUGUAGCAAUACAAGGCAGACGGCUCAGUAACGCGUAGUCAAUCUACCCUAUGGACGGGAAUAACCUCGGGAAACUGAGAAUAAUACCCGACAGAACAUUAUACCUGGAACGGUUUAUGUUUCAAAUGAUUUAUCGCCGUAGGAUGGGACUGCGGCCUAUCAGUUUGUUGGUGAGGUAAUGGCCCACCAAGACUAUUACAGGUACGGGCUCUGAGAGGAGUAGCCCGGAGAUGGGUACUGAGACAAGGGCCCAGGCCCUACGGGGCGCAGCAGUCGCGAAAACUUUGCAAUACACGAAAGUGUGACAGGGCUAUCCCGAGUGCCAUCCGCUGAGGAAGGCUUUUACCCAGUCUAGAAAGCUGGGGGAAUAAGGAGAGGGCAAGUCUGGUGUCAGCCGCCGCGGUAAUACCAGCUCUCCGAGUGGUGUGGAUGUUUAUUGGGCCUAAAGCAUCCGUAGCUGGCUAAGUUAGUCCCUUGUUAAAUCCACCGAAUUAAUCGUUGGAUUGCGGGGGAUACUGCUUGGCUAGGGGACGAGAGAGGCAGACGGUAUUUUUGGGGUAGGGGUGAAAUCCUAUAAUCCCAGGAAGACCACCAGUGGCGAAGGCUGUCUGCUAGAACGCGCCCGACGGUGAGGGAUGAAAGCUGGGGGAGCGAACCGGAUUAGAUACCCGGGUAGUCCCAGCUGUAAACGAUGCAAACUAGGUGUUUGAACGGCCACGUGCCGUUCUAGUGCCGCAGGGAAGCUGUUAAGUUUGCCGCCUGGGGAGUACGAUCGCAAGAUUGAAACUUAAAGGAAUUGGCGGGGGAGCACCACAAGGGGUGAAGCUUGCGGUUUAAUUGGAGUCAACGCCGGG